RNAcentral lists this ribosomal RNA (289 nucleotides) under uncultured bacterium. RNAcentral describes it as "partial 16S ribosomal RNA". It matches the Rfam family "Bacterial small subunit ribosomal RNA", at positions 773 to 1060 of the family's 1533-position model. The record is from RNAcentral.
GUGGAUUAGAUACCCUGGUAGUCCACGCCGUAAACGAUGCAUACUAGUCUUAUGGGGUAUCGACCCCCUGUGAGACGCAGCUAACGCGAUAAGUAUGCCGCCUGGGAAGUACGGCCGCAAGGCUAAAACUCAAAGGAAUUGACGGGGACCCGCACAAGCAGAGGAUGAUGUGGUUUAAUAUGACGCUACGCGUAGAACCUUACCGAGGCUUGACAUCCUUGGAACCCGCUGGAAACAGUGGGGUGCCGCAAGGAGCCAAGUGACAGGUGCUGCAUGGCCGUCGACAACU